Molecule: unclassified non-coding RNA, 244 nt
Filed under: plant metagenome
Description: partial contains small subunit ribosomal RNA, internal transcribed spacer 1, and 5.8S ribosomal RNA
Source: RNAcentral
UCUCCGUUGGUGAACCAGCGGAGGGAUCAUUACCGAGUUUACAACUCCCAAACCCAAUGUGAACCAUACCAAACUGUUGCCUCGGCGGGCUCACGCCCCGGGUGCGUCGCAGCCCCGGAACCAGGCGCCCGCCGGAGGGACCAACCAAACUCUUUCCGUAGUCCCCUCGCGGACGUUAUUUUUACAGCUCUGAGCAAAAAUUCAAAAUGAAUCAAAACUUUCAACAACGGAUCUCUUGGUUCUG